RNAcentral lists this long non-coding RNA (228 nucleotides) under Solanum tuberosum (potato). RNAcentral describes it as "long non-coding RNA (STUB_LNC001513)". The record is from RNAcentral. Lineage: Eukaryota; Viridiplantae; Streptophyta; Magnoliopsida; Solanales; Solanaceae.
CCCUACUUCUGAAGUUGAAGGUUCAUUGAUUGGGUCUCCACUUGCUCUUGUCCCUUUCGCCAUUGAUGCCAAGGAAUCGUAUGGCUCUGAUACCACUGAUAGCUGAAUUGCAUGAGUUAAUUACAACUUGAGGAUUCAAAAGCUAUUUCAGGAUCCUAUCGGAGAGGUUUCGAGAAAAUAACCACAGAUUAUGGAAGAGAAGAAAUGAUCGAAGAAGAUUGAAUGUAG